Strongylocentrotus purpuratus (purple sea urchin) is the source of this 1607-nucleotide long non-coding RNA. RefSeq lists it as uncharacterized. Lineage: Eukaryota; Metazoa; Echinodermata; Echinoidea; Camarodonta; Strongylocentrotidae. The record is from RefSeq and is a predicted model, not a curated record. The transcript has 5 exons.
GGUUUGAGUUCAGACCUUGGUCUGAAAUUACAUUUCACAAAGCAAGGUUUGUCCUCAGACCAGGUUUAUGUACGUCAUCAGACCCGAAAUUUACAGACUGCUCAGAUAGGAGGUUUGUAAUUUCUCAAACCUGGUUUGAGAGCUAUCAACCAAUCAGGAUGCAGCACUGGGUGGAGAUAAUUUAUGCUCGAUUGAUUUUAUCCAAAUAAUUCACCGCCAAAACAAUCUGCGAUAGUAUCUGGUCAGCCCGAUUUUAGUGCAAUUGAAAUCUCUCAAUCUCUCGAUCCUUUCCUUAAAAUCUAAAGAUGGUAGAAAUGCAGCUGAUUCAGCAUAAUGAGCUGGUGUACCUGGAGGAGGAGCUGGAGCAAUAUAUAGCAGCACAACCGGGCAGAGGCCUCUGAGUCUGAGAUUGGGAAAACCCGCUUGAUGAUGAGCCUUUUGUUUUAGAUUGAGGUAAUUCGAUCUAAAGGAUGCACCGUGAGGAGGCGGCAUGCCGUGUCAUAUUCAUCUGUUUGCCGAAUGGAGAGUAGUGAGGGAUGUUUCCGAAGCUGUUGUCAGAAGAAAGGGACAAGUCAUGAAGUUUCCUACAAGUUACAACAAGGCAAAUAGUGACUACUAUUCAGAAGCAGUUUUUCCAGUACUGCAGAUUUCCAGGAGUUGCUGUUGAUGGGACACAUGUUUACAUCAGGAGCCCUGGUGGGGCAAGAGCCAGGUACUACUUCAAUAGGAAGAACAGGUACUCCAUCGAUGUUCAGGUUGUCUGUGAUUAUGCUGGGAAAAUAACUAGUAUCGUUGCAAGGUGGCCUGGACUGGUAGCAGCCACGAUGCCAGGAUCUUUUCUGAGUGUGCACUGAAUUGGCAGCUUGAUGCUAGGGCAUAUGAAUAACAGUUGAUUCUUGGAGAUAGACUAUAGGGUAUCCAUGCCUUCUCUGCCUCAUCAGAAGCCAUUUCUUCAUUCAGAGGGUCGACCACAGAUGUGCUUUAAAGGCCAUCUGUACUGGUUCAGCCAAAGAGGAUUAGACAACCCAGCAAGGUCACUGACGGGAGGCUAUCUCAUCAAUUCAGUUCUCAAUUAAAAUAAGAAAAAGAGGAUCAUGGGGGAUUAACAGGCACAGAUUGGGGAAGUUUUCUAUAAAGAGGGAGCAAGUAGCUAGAAGUAGUACAGUGGGGCUUUAACACUUCACACACAAAAAAGGGAGAUGUGUGAUUGAGCGCAUAUUUAUUAAAUGCAAGGAUGAGGACGUUCCAUGCCUCAUCAAUACUAAGAGUAUUUCAAAAUACGGCCCCUCCCUGGUGUUCCCACAAUACUUCGUAGUUAUGCAGCAUUACAUCAAGAACCUGUGUGUUGAACCGUUGAUUAUUUAUGAAUAUUUUUGAAGUUAUGUUUAGUUGAUAAGUAUUUGUUGUCACUCUGACGGUAUUUGUAAUUAAGUGUUCUCUGUAGAUUAAAUGCACCCGAUUUAACUAUAAUUAGCAUUGUACUGCUGAGUUGAGGGGUGGGUCAAUAUAAAUUAUUUGGUUGGCAGCUAGGGGAGAGUAUUCGAACAAAUAUUAUUUACUGUACUAAGCGAAGUCAGAAUUAAAGAACUUUUAUGUGCAAAUUUGAA